This 253-nucleotide ribosomal RNA is filed under the name uncultured bacterium. Its description in RNAcentral is "partial 16S ribosomal RNA". It matches the Rfam family "Bacterial small subunit ribosomal RNA", at positions 524 to 776 of the family's 1533-position model. The record is from RNAcentral.
GACGUAGGGGGCCAGCGUUGUUCGGAAUUACUGGGCGUAAAGGGUUCGUAGGCGGUGUAGCAAGUCGGGAGUGAAAUCUCUGGGCUUAACCCAGAGGCUGCUUCCGAAACUGCUGUGCUUGAGUGUGGGAGAGGCGCGUGGAAUUGCAGGUGUAGCGGUGAAAUGCGUAGAUAUCUGCAGGAACACCCAUGGCGAAAGCGGCGCGCUGGACCACUACUGACGCUGAGGAACGAAAGCAUGGGGAGCGAACAGG